UACGGGGGGAGCAAGCGUUGUUCGGAUUUACUGGGCGUAAAGGGCGCGUAGGCGGUCAGCACAAGUCAGUUGUGAAAUCUCCGGGCUUAACCCGGAAAGGUCAACUGAUACUGUGCGACUAGAGUGCGGAAGGGGCAACUGGAAUUCUCGGUGUAGCGGUGAAAUGCGUAGAUAUCGAGAGGAACACCUGCGGCGAAGGCGGGUUGCUGGGCCGACACUGACGCUGAUGCGCGAAAGCGUGGGGAGCAAACAGG
RNAcentral lists this ribosomal RNA (254 nucleotides) under uncultured bacterium. RNAcentral's name for it is "partial 16S ribosomal RNA". It matches the Rfam family "Bacterial small subunit ribosomal RNA", at positions 524 to 776 of the family's 1533-position model. The record is from RNAcentral.